RNAcentral lists this ribosomal RNA (448 nucleotides) under uncultured bacterium. Its description in RNAcentral is "bacterial SSU rRNA". It matches the Rfam family "Bacterial small subunit ribosomal RNA", at positions 355 to 825 of the family's 1533-position model. The record is from RNAcentral.
UGGGGAAUAUUGCACAAUGGGCGAAAGCCUGAUGCAGCAACGCCGCGUGCGGGAAGAAGGCCCUAGGGUUGUAAACCGCUUUCAGCAGGGAAGAAAAUGACGGUACCUGCAGAAGAAGGUGCGGCCAACUACGUGCCAGCAGCCGCGGUGACACGUAGGCACCAAGCGUUGUCCGGAUUUAUUGGGCGUAAAGAGCUCGUAGGCGGUUCAGUAAGUCGGGUGUGAAAACUCUGGGCUCAACCCAGAGACGCCACCCGAUACUGCUGUGACUUGAGUACGGUAGGGGAGUGGGGAAUUCCUGGUGGAGCGGUGAAAUGCGUAGAUAUCUGGAGGAACACCGGUGGCGAAGGCGACAUCCUGGACCAAUUCUUACGCUGAGGAGCGAAAGCCAGGGGAGCAAACGGGAUUAGAUACCCGAGUAGUCCCUGAGCGGGCUGGCAAGGCGCAU